AGUGAACGCUGGCGGUAGGCCUAACACAUGCAAGUCGAACGGCAGCACAGUAAGAGCUUGCUCUUACGGGUGGCGAGUGGCGGACGGGUGAGGAAUACAUCGGAAUCUACUUUUUCGUGGGGGUUAACGUAGGGAAACUUACGCUAAUACAGCAUACGACCUACGGGUGAAAGCAUGGGAUCUUCGGACCUUGCGCGAUUGAAUGAGCCGAUGUCGGAUUAGCUAGUUGGCUGGGUAAAGGCCCACCAAGGCGACGAUCCGUAGCUGGUCUGAGAGGAUGGUCAGCCACAUUGGAACGGAGACGCGGUCCAGGCUCCUACGGGAGGGAGCAGUGGGGAAUAUUGGACAAUGGGCGCAAGCCUGAUCCAGCCAGACCGCGUGGGUGAAGAAGGCCUUCGGGUUGUAAAGCCCGUUUGUUGGGAAAGAAAAGCAGCAGGUUAAUACCCCGCUGUUCUGACGGUACCCAAAGAAUAAGCACCGGCUAACUUCGUG
Molecule: ribosomal RNA, 492 nt
Filed under: uncultured bacterium
Lineage: Bacteria
Description: partial 16S ribosomal RNA
Rfam family: Bacterial small subunit ribosomal RNA
Source: RNAcentral